This 302-nucleotide long non-coding RNA is filed under the name Olea europaea subsp. europaea. Lineage: Eukaryota; Viridiplantae; Streptophyta; Magnoliopsida; Lamiales; Oleaceae. The record is from RNAcentral.
UCUUUAAGGCAGGCAGUUCAGAAGUCACGAGUUCGAUUCAUGGGGCUUUUGGAAGGCAAAUCUUUCUCCUGGAAGGCAGGAUAUUUCCUGGAAGGCAGGAGUUCCUUGGAAGGCAAGGCGUAUACAUGAGUUUGACUCGCUUGACACUUCGGCAGUUCAAUUGGGGGGCUCUUGGACCCUGGCCAGUUUGGGACACAACCCGGGGUUUACCUGGUCUGCGUGAAGAGGGGUUGGAUCGUAGACCCCAGGAUUAGUCACUGUAAGGUGGAAACCUGGGUAAAAAAAAAAAAAAAAAAAAAAAA